RNAcentral lists this transfer RNA (56 nucleotides) under Chattonella subsalsa. RNAcentral's name for it is "partial tRNA". Lineage: Eukaryota; Raphidophyceae; Chattonellales; Chattonellaceae. The record is from RNAcentral.
CAUGGCUCAGUUGGUAGAGCGUCCGCUUCAUCAGCGAAAAGGCGUUGGUUCGAGUC